UCUUAUCAAGAGUGGUGGAGGGACCUGCCCUGUGAAGCCCGACAACCUGCGCGCCGGAUUGCUUGCGCAAGGUGUUAAAUCAGCGACCGUGAUCGGCAGAUGAG
This 104-nucleotide non-coding RNA is filed under the name human gut metagenome. RNAcentral's name for it is "SAM riboswitch (S box leader)". It matches the Rfam family "SAM riboswitch aptamer (S box leader)". From Rfam's summary of the family: The SAM riboswitch is found upstream of a number of genes which code for proteins involved in methionine or cysteine biosynthesis in Gram-positive bacteria. The SAM riboswitch acts at the level of transcription termination control. The record is from RNAcentral. RNAcentral also lists the same sequence under 1 other name.